Armigeres subalbatus is the source of this 282-nucleotide long non-coding RNA. RefSeq lists it as uncharacterized. The record is from RefSeq and is a predicted model, not a curated record. The transcript has 3 exons. Lineage: Eukaryota; Metazoa; Arthropoda; Insecta; Diptera; Culicidae.
CAAGGUUGCGACUGAAAGAUGUUGAAAAUACGGAUAAUUUUUGCGCUGUUUGGGUCGUGUAAAAGUAAUCAAAGCAGUUUUUCAUACCAAAACUUAACAUACUAUAUGUUCGAAAGAUGUAUUUUUUACACUCAUACAACAAACCGUGUUACUUGGGAAAAUAUGGAGAUGCUAGAGCGAGUAAUGGCGCUUAAACCUAGGCCUAUAUGUACACUGAGUGUAUAAGCCAGGGCACUAGACUAAAAACUGUGUCCCAUCCCAAGACGUCGAGGACCCAAGGAG